UUUCCUUUGACCUGCCCACUGCCUGCUGACAUUAUCAGAAGUGGUGGCCUGAUCCAAUCACAAUGCUUCCCCAUAGGAUUAGCUGAGACUGACAAAGAGGCAGAUCAGGGGCAGAGCCAGCACAAUUCAAACACAGCCCUGGCCAAUCAGCAUCUCCUCAUAGAGAUGAAUUGAAUCAAUGAAUCUCUAUGAGGAAAGUUCAGUGUCUGCAUGCAGAGGCUGGAGACACUGAAUGUUUGGAUGCAUUUUAGGCAGCCAUGACCCAGGAAGGUUCUCAAACAGCCAUCCGAGGAGUGGCCAGUGAAGUUAUCACUAGGCUGUAAUGUAAACACUGCCUUUUCUCUGAAAAGACAGUGUUUACAGCAAAAAGCCUGAAGGUAAUGAUUCUACUCACCAGAACAAAUUCAAUAAGCUGUAGUUGUUCUGGUGACUAUAGUGUCC
Molecule: non-coding RNA, 441 nt
Organism: Pelobates cultripes (western spadefoot toad)
Lineage: Eukaryota; Metazoa; Chordata; Amphibia; Anura; Pelobatidae
Source: the annotation of a GenBank genome assembly